CGCACAUUGCGCCCUCUGGCAUUCCGGGGGGCACGCCUGUUCGAGCGUCAUUGAACCGAUCAAGCUCCGCUUGGUAUUGGGACUCGCUCCCCGCGAGGGGAGGUCCCGGAAAGUAGCGGCGCGAUCGUGCGGAGAAGAACGCAAGGGAACCCUAAGCGGUUAUCGUUCUUCCUCCGGGCGUUCGUCGCCGUGGAACGGUUGCCCGCCCCCGGCGGGUCCCCACACGCAGAAUUGACCUCGGAUCAGGUGGGAAUACCCGCUGAACUUAA
Molecule: unclassified non-coding RNA, 269 nt
Filed under: Coenogonium luteum
Lineage: Eukaryota; Fungi; Ascomycota; Lecanoromycetes; Ostropales; Coenogoniaceae
Description: partial contains 5.8S ribosomal RNA, internal transcribed spacer 2, and large subunit ribosomal RNA
Source: RNAcentral